Molecule: long non-coding RNA, 233 nt
Filed under: Elaeis guineensis (African oil palm)
Lineage: Eukaryota; Viridiplantae; Streptophyta; Magnoliopsida; Arecales; Arecaceae
Description: long non-coding RNA (EGUI_LNC018454)
Source: RNAcentral
CUUGAUCAUAUAUAAUACAUAAUCUGUGAUUGACGUCCCCUCAUGGAUGUGGGCAUUGAAGAUGGCACAAGAGGUUUUAUGCCUCUCAACAUCAUCAGAUGUGUCGAAGAAUUCAUUCAACACUUGAAGUAUUUCCUCCAGCUGAGUAUCCUCAAAUUUAUGACUGAACUCAUUAUUUAUAGCCGCUCUCAUAAUGCAACGCACUGCGGUGCGGUCAUUGAGCUACUUCUGAU